This 73-nucleotide transfer RNA is filed under the name Erinaceus europaeus (western European hedgehog). It matches the Rfam family "tRNA". From Rfam's summary of the family: Transfer RNA (tRNA) molecules are approximately 80 nucleotides in length. Their secondary structure includes four short double-helical elements and three loops (D, anti-codon, and T loops). Further hydrogen bonds mediate the characteristic L-shaped molecular structure. tRNAs have two regions of fundamental functional importance: the anti-codon, which is responsible for specific mRNA codon recognition, and the 3' end, to which the tRNAs corresponding amino acid is attached (by aminoacyl-tRNA synthetases). tRNAs cope with the degeneracy of the genetic code in two manners: having more than one tRNA (with a specific anti-codon) for a particular amino acid; and 'wobble' base-pairing, i.e. permitting non-standard base-pairing at the 3rd anti-codon position. Lineage: Eukaryota; Metazoa; Chordata; Mammalia; Eulipotyphla; Erinaceidae. The record is from Rfam by way of RNAcentral.
UGGGAUGUGGCACAGUGGACAAAGUGCUAGGCUCAAAAGUCUGAGGUCCCAAGUUCAAUCCCUGGCAUCUCAC